This 550-nucleotide ribosomal RNA is filed under the name uncultured fungus. RNAcentral describes it as "eukaryotic LSU rRNA". The stretch from base 211 to 364 matches the Rfam family "5.8S ribosomal RNA". The record is from RNAcentral. Lineage: Eukaryota; Fungi.
AAGUCGUAACAAGGUUUCCGUAGGUGAACCUGCGGAAGGAUCAUUAAAGAAUCGCCCCGUUUUUUGAAAUGGGUUCUAUUCCCAAACCGUGUAUACAUACCUUUGUUGCUUUGGCAGGCCGCCUUUUAGGCGUCGGCUCCGGCUGACUGCGCCUGCCAGAGGACCCAAACUCUUUUGUUUAGUGAUGUCUGAGUACUAUAUAAUAGUUAAAACUUUCAACAACGGAUCUCUUGGUUCUGGCAUCGAUGAAGAACGCAGCGAAAUGCGAUAAGUAAUGUGAAUUGCAGAAUUCAGUGAAUCAUCGAAUCUUUGAACGCACAUUGCGCCCCUUGGUAUUCCGAGGGGCAUGCCUGUUCGAGCGUCAUUAUGACCACUCAAGCCUCGGCUUGGUCUUGGGGUUCGCGGUUUCGCGGCCCUUAAAAUCAGUGGCGGUGCCGUCUGGCUCUAAGCGUAGUAAUUCUCUCGCUAUAGGGUCCAGGUGACCACCUGCCAUAACCCCCCAUUCUUUACGGUUGACCUCGGAUCAGGUAGGGAUACCCGCUGAACUUAA